This 726-nucleotide ribosomal RNA is filed under the name uncultured Vibrio sp. RNAcentral describes it as "bacterial SSU rRNA". It matches the Rfam family "Bacterial small subunit ribosomal RNA", at positions 28 to 733 of the family's 1533-position model. The record is from RNAcentral. Lineage: Bacteria; Pseudomonadati; Pseudomonadota; Gammaproteobacteria; Vibrionales; Vibrionaceae.
AUUGAACGCUGGCGGCAGGCCUAACACAUGCAAGUCGAGCGGAAACGACACUAACAAUCCUUCGGGUGCGUUAAUGGGCGUCGAGCGGCGGACGGGUGAGUAAUGCCUAGGAAAUUGCCUUGAUGUGGGGGAUAACCAUUGGAAACGAUGGCUAAUACCGCAUAAUGCCUACGGGCCAAAGAGGGGGACCUUCGGGCCUCUCGCGUCAAGAUAUGCCUAGGUGGGAUUAGCUAGUUGGUGAGGUAAUGGCUCACCAAGGCGACGAUCCCUAGCUGGUCUGAGAGGAUGAUCAGCCACACUGGAACUGAGACACGGUCCAGACUCCUACGGGAGGCAGCAGUGGGGAAUAUUGCACAAUGGGCGAAAGCCUGAUGCAGCCAUGCCGCGUGUAUGAAGAAGGCCUUCGGGUUGUAAAGUACUUUCAGUUGUGAGGAAGGGGGUAGCGUUAAUAGCGCUAUCUCUUGACGUUAGCAACAGAAGAAGCACCGGCUAACUCCGUGCCAGCAGCCGCGGUAAUACGGAGGGUGCGAGCGUUAAUCGGAAUUACUGGGCGUAAAGCGCAUGCAGGUGGUUUGUUAAGUCAGAUGUGAAAGCCCCAGGCUCAACCUGGGAAGGUCAUUUGAAACUGGCAAACUAGAGUACUGUAGAGGGGGGUAGAAUUUCAGGUGUAGCGGUGAAAUGCGUAGAGAUCUGAAGGAAUACCAGUGGCGAAGGCGGUCCCCUGGA